This is a long non-coding RNA of Etheostoma cragini (Arkansas darter), 193 nucleotides long. RefSeq lists it as uncharacterized. Lineage: Eukaryota; Metazoa; Chordata; Actinopteri; Perciformes; Percidae. The transcript has 3 exons. The record is from RefSeq and is a predicted model, not a curated record.
UCUGUGAUGAUAAAAGUGAAUAAAGAUGAGAUUUUAUUGAUCCAGUGGUGAAAGUCACAAGCUAGCUGCCAAGUCAAACUUCCGCUGUUAUUUUGGUAAAAGUAAAUCAAAAGCAAUGCAAAAGUAGUUCAACGCAUUACAAUUCAGAGACAUUAAUAGUGUAAAAUAACUAAUUAUUCUCAAAUGACAGUAA